GGUUAAGUUAGAAAGGGCGCACGGUGGAUGCCUUGGCACUAGGAGCCGAAGAAGGACGGGACUAACACCGAUAUGCUUUGGGGAGCUGUACGUAAGCGUUGAUCCAGAGAUUUCCGAAUGGGGGAACCCACUAUCUUUAGUCGGAUAGUAUCCUUACGUGAAUACAUAGCGUGAGGAAGGCAGACCCAGGGAACUGAAACAUCUAAGUACCUGGAGGAAGAGAAAGAAAAAUCGAUUUCCUGAGUAGCGGCGAGCGAAACGGAAAGAGCCCAAACCAAGAAGCUUGCUUCUUGGGGUUGUAGGACACUCUAUACGGAGUUACAAAAGAAAGUUAUAAAUGAAGCGGUCUGGAAAGGCCCGCCAAAGACGGUAACAGCCCGGUAGUUGAAAUGGCUUUCCCUCCAGAGUGGAUCCUGAGUACGGCGGAACACGUGAAAUUCCGUCGGAAUCCGGGAGGACCAUCUCCCAAGGCUAAAUACUCCCUAGUGACCGAUAGUGAACCAGUACCGUGAGGGAAAGGUGAAAAGCACCCCGGAAGGGGAGUGAAACAGUUCCUGAAACCGUGUGCCUACAAGUAGUUAGAGCCCGUUAAUGGGUGAUAGCGUGCCUUUUGUAGAAUGAACCGGCGAGUUACGAUUUGUUGCAAGGUUAAGCGGAAAAAGCGGAGCCGUAGCGAAAGCGAGUCUGAAUAGGGCGCAUAAGUAACAGGUCGUAGACCCGAAACCAGGUGAUCUACCCAUGUCCAGGAUGAAGGUAAGGUAAUACUUACUGGAGGUCCGAACCCACGCACGUUGAAAAGUGCGGGGAUGAGGUGUGGGUAGCGGAGAAAUUCCAAUCGAACUUGGAGAUAGCUGGUUCUCUCCGAAAUAGCUUUAGGGCUAGCCUCGAGGUAAAGAGUCAUGGAGGUAGAGCACUGUUUGGACUAGGGGCCCUUCUCGGGUUACCGAAUUCAGAUAAACUCCGAAUGCCAUGUACUUAUACUCGGGAGUCAGACUGCGAGUGAUAAGAUCCGUAGUCGAAAGGGAAACAGCCCAGACCACCAGUUAAGGUCCCCAAAUAUAUGUUAAGUGGAAAAGGAUGUGGGGUUGCUUAGACAACCAGGAUGUUGGCUUAGAAGCAGCCACCAUUGAAAGAGUGCGUAAUAGCUCACUGGUCGAGUGACCCCGCGCCGAAAAUGUACCGGGGCUAAACAUAUUACCGAAACUGUGGAUGAACCUCUUUAGAGGUUCGUGGUAGGAGAGCGUUCUAAGGGCGGUGAAGUCAGACCGGAAGGACUGGUGGAGCGCUUAGAAGUGAGAAUGCCGGUAUGAGUAGCGAAAGAAGGGUGAGAAUCCCUUCCACCGAAUAUCUAAGGUUUCCUGAGGAAGGCUCGUCCGCUCAGGGUUAGUCGGGACCUAAGCCGCGGCCGNNNNNNNNNNNNNNNNNNNNNNNNNNNNNNNNNNNNNNNNNNNNNNNNNNNNNNNNNNNNNNNNNNNNNNNNNNNNNNNNNNNNNNNNNNNUGAGGCCGAUAGGCGUAGGCGAUGGACAACAGGUAGAGAUUCCUGUACCAGUGCUAAUUGUUUAACCGAUGGGGUGACACAGAAGGAUAGGGAAUCGCACGAAUGGAAAUGUGCGUCCAAGCAGUGAGUGUGAGAAGUAGGCAAAUCCGCUUCUCGCGAAGCAUGAGCUGUGAUGGGGAAGGAAAUUAAGUACGGAAGUUCCUGAUUUCACGCUGUCAAGAAAAGCCUCUAGGAAGAGUAGUACUGCCCGUACCGCAAACCGACACAGGUAGAUGAGGAGAGAAUCCUAAGGUGAGCGAGAGAACUCUCGUUAAGGAACUCGGCAAAAUGACCCCGUAACUUCGGGAGAAGGGGUGCUCUAUUAGGGUGCAAGCCCGAGAGAGCCGCAGUGAAUAGGCCCAGGCGACUGUUUAGCAAAAACACAGGUCUCUGCAAAACCGUAAGGUGACGUAUAGGGGCUGACGCCUGCCCGGUGCUGGAAGGUUAAGAGGAGUGCUUAGCUUCGGCGAAGGUACGAAUUGAAGCCCCAGUAAACGGCGGCCGUAACUAUAACGGUCCUAAGGUAGCGAAAUUCCUUGUCGGGUAAGUUCCGACCCGCACGAAAGGCGCAACGAUCUGGGCACUGUCUCAACGAGAGACUCGGUGAAAUUAUAGUACCUGUGAAGAUGCAGGUUACCCGCGACAGGACGGAAAGACCCCGUGGAGCUUUACUGCAACCUGAUAUGGAAUGUUUGUACCGCUUGUACAGGAUAGGUAGGAGCCGAAGAGACGUGUGCGCUAGCAUACGAGGAGGCAAUGGUGGGAUACUACCCUGGCUGUAUGACCAUUCUAACCCGCCACGCUUAGCGCGUGGGGAGACAGUGUCAGGUGGGCAGUUUGACUGGGGCGGUCGCCUCCUAAAGAGUAACGGAGGCGCCCAAAGGUUCCCUCAGAAUGGAUGGAAAUCAUUCGCAGAGUGUAAAGGCACAAGGGAGCUUGACUGCGAGACUGACAAGUCGAGCAGGGACGAAAGUCGGGCUUAGUGAUCCGGUGGUUCCGCAUGGAAGGGCCAUCGCUCAACGGAUAAAAGCUACCCCGGGGAUAACAGGCUUAUCUCCCCCAAGAGUCCACAUCGACGGGGAGGUUUGGCACCUCGAUGUCGGCUCGUCGCAUCCUGGGGCUGUAGUCGGUCCCAAGGGUUGGGCUGUUCGCCCAUUAAAGCGGCACGCGAGCUGGGUUCAGAACGUCGUGAGACAGUUCGGUCCCUAUCCGUCGCGGGCGCAGGAAAUUUGAGAGGAGCUGUCCUUAGUACGAGAGGACCGGGAUGGACACACCGCUGGUGUACCAGUUGUUCCGCCAGGAGCAUCGCUGGGUAGCUAUGUGUGGCAGGGAUAAACGCUGAAAGCAUCUAAGCGUGAAGCCCCCCUCAAGAUGAGAUUUCCCAUUUCUUCGGAAAGUAAGAUCCCUGAAAGAUGAUCAGGUAGAUAGGUUUGGAGUGGAAGUGUAGCGAUACAUGGAGCGGACAAAUACUAAUCGAUCGAGGACUUAACCAA
Molecule: ribosomal RNA, 3031 nt
Filed under: Listeria monocytogenes
Lineage: Bacteria; Bacillati; Bacillota; Bacilli; Caryophanales; Listeriaceae
Description: 23S ribosomal RNA
Rfam family: Bacterial large subunit ribosomal RNA
Source: RNAcentral